UCUGUUCAUGAGAUGACUGCGGCGUGAAAGCGUCGAGGAAAGUCCGGACUUCGUAUGGCAGCACAGGGGAUAACAUCCCCCCGCUCAAGCAAUUGGGUGAGGACCAGUGGAACAGAGAGAAGGUCCAGGGCAUUGAUCCUAGGGGCGAGAACGUGUGCCUUUAGGGGAGCCGCUGGAGUGAAAGCAGCUAAACUCUGUGCGAAGCAAGGUCAAAUAGGGAAGCGUUUGAGGGCGGCCAGUCUAAAGCUUCCGGGUAGACCGCUAGAGGGCGCAAGCAAUUGCGCUCCCAGAUGAAUAGUCGUCGGCGAAAGGGUCUGUUGAAGCCCUUUNGUUACAGAAUCCGGCUUAUGAUUGAACGAUUCAA
RNAcentral lists this RNase P RNA (364 nucleotides) under Pseudobdellovibrionaceae bacterium. RNAcentral's name for it is "Bdellovibrionaceae bacterium RNase P RNA component class A". It matches the Rfam family "Bacterial RNase P class A". Rfam says of the family: Ribonuclease P (RNase P) is a ubiquitous endoribonuclease, found in archaea, bacteria and eukarya as well as chloroplasts and mitochondria. Its best characterised activity is the generation of mature 5'-ends of tRNAs by cleaving the 5'-leader elements of precursor-tRNAs. Cellular RNase Ps are ribonucleoproteins. The record is from RNAcentral. Lineage: Bacteria; Pseudomonadati; Bdellovibrionota; Bdellovibrionia; Bdellovibrionales; Pseudobdellovibrionaceae.